GUUGAUCCUGGCGGAGGCCACUGCUAUCGGAGUUCGAUUAAGCCAUGCGAGUCGAGAGGUGCAAGACCUCGGCAUACUGCUCAGUAACACGUGGACAAUCUGACCUAUGGAAGGGGAUAAUCCCGGGAAACUGGGGAUAAUACCCUAUAGACUAUGGAUGCUGGAAUGCACUGUAGUCGAAAGGUCCGCCGCCAUAGGAUGGGUCUGCGGCCGAUUAGGUAGUUGUUGGGGUAACGGCCCAACAAGCCCGUAAUCGGUACGGGUUGUGGGAGCAAGAGCCCGGAGAUGGAUUCUGAGACACGAAUCCAGGCCCUACGGGGCGCAGCAGGCGCGAAAACUUUACAAUGCGGGAAACCGUGAUAGGGGAACUCCGAGUGCCCGUAAAAUCGGGCUGUCCACCAGUUUAAACAACUGGUGAAGAAAGGGCCGGGCAAGACCGGUGCCAGCCGCCGCGGUAAUACCGGCGGCUCGAGUGGUGGCCACUAUUACUGGGCUUAAAG
Molecule: ribosomal RNA, 500 nt
Filed under: uncultured methanogenic archaeon
Lineage: Archaea; Methanobacteriati; Methanobacteriota
Description: bacterial SSU rRNA
Rfam family: Archaeal small subunit ribosomal RNA
Source: RNAcentral